AAAGGAACCAGUUCAAAUAUAAAAUGGCCGGAUACAUGAGUCUGAGAGAAGUCGUCAUCAUCAUCAUGGCAUGGUAACAGAUAAAAGACAAGACGAAAGAUUAAAACCAAAAUGGGAAGAAAGAAAAAGAAUAAGAAGGACAUCUUCAUGCCUGGUUGCCUUGUCUGGACAUCAUUGGCAGGAAUACCUAAGAAAAUGAAGUGGCCCGGGGAGAUUAUUAGAUCUAGCGACGGGAAAGUGGAGGUUUUUUGUCACUCAGACAAUUCAUGUUUUAUAGUAAACUUAGAGGAUGUCUGUCCAUUCCCUGGGGACAUGAGUCAGUGGAAAAACACAG
Molecule: long non-coding RNA, 334 nt
Organism: Mytilus trossulus (common blue mussel)
Lineage: Eukaryota; Metazoa; Mollusca; Bivalvia; Mytilida; Mytilidae
Exons: 3
Source: RefSeq, a predicted model, not a curated record